Ornithorhynchus anatinus (platypus) is the source of this 139-nucleotide small nucleolar RNA. The record is from RefSeq and is a predicted model, not a curated record. NCBI's taxonomy places the organism in Eukaryota, Metazoa, Chordata, Mammalia, Monotremata, Ornithorhynchidae.
UACCUGCUCAGGAUUGCACCCGAAGAGUUUCCAGUACUCUACCAGCCUCGGCUAUGGGAGGGAGAGUCAAGCAGAGGCAUACCAAUUCCAUUCCUAGCUUGGGCAGUGGCUAGCAAGUGGAAGGCAAUCUGCUACAGGU